Molecule: ribosomal RNA, 497 nt
Filed under: uncultured bacterium
Lineage: Bacteria
Description: partial 16S ribosomal RNA
Rfam family: Bacterial small subunit ribosomal RNA
Source: RNAcentral
GAUGAACGCUGGCGGCGUGCCUAAUACAUGCAAGUCGAGCGAACAGAUAAGGAGCUUGCUCCUUUGACGUUAGCGGCGGACGGGUGAGUAACACGUGGGUAACCUACCUAUAAGACUGGGAUAACUUCGGGAAACCGGAGCUAAUACCGGAUAAUAUUUCGAACCGCAUGGUUCGAUAGUGAAAGAUGGUUUUGCUAUCACUUAUAGAUGGACCCGCGCCGUAUUAGCUAGUUGGUAAGGUAACGGCUUACCAAGGCGACGAUACGUAGCCGACCUGAGAGGGUGAUCGGCCACACUGGAACUGAGACACGGUCCAGACUCCUACGGGAGGCAGCAGUAGGGAAUCUUCCGCAAUGGGCGAAAGCCUGACGGAGCAACGCCGCGUGAGUGAUGAAGGUCUUCGGAUCGUAAAACUCUGUUAUUAGGGAAGAACAUACGUGUAAGUAACUGUGCACGUCUUGACGGUACCUAAUCAGAAAGCCACGGCCAACUACGUG